GACGAACGCUGGCGGCGUGCUUAACACACGCAAGUCGAACGGAAAGGCCCUGCUUUUGUGGGGUGCUCGAGUGGCGAACGGGUGAGUAACACGUGAGUAACCUGCCCUUGACUUUGGGAUAACUUCAGGAAACUGGGGCUAAUACCGGAUAGGAGCUCCUGCUGCAUGGUGGGGGUUGGAAAGUUUCGGCGGUUGGGGAUGGACUCGCGGCUUAUCAGCUUGUUGGUGGGGUAGUGGCUUACCAAGGCUUUGACGGGUAGCCGGCCUGAGAGGGUGACCGGCCACAUUGGGACUGAGACACGGCCCAGACUCCUACGGGAGGCAGCAGUGGGGAAUAUUGCACAAUGGGCGGAAGCCUGAUGCAGCAACGCCGCGUGCGGGAUGACGGCCUUCGGGUUGUAAACCGCUUUCGCCUGUGACGAAGCGUGAGUGACGGUAAUGGGUAAAGAAGCACCGGCUAACUACGUG
RNAcentral lists this ribosomal RNA (468 nucleotides) under uncultured bacterium. RNAcentral describes it as "partial 16S ribosomal RNA". It matches the Rfam family "Bacterial small subunit ribosomal RNA", at positions 28 to 507 of the family's 1533-position model. The record is from RNAcentral.